RNAcentral lists this transfer RNA (64 nucleotides) under Paridea biplagiata. RNAcentral describes it as "tRNA-His". Lineage: Eukaryota; Metazoa; Arthropoda; Insecta; Coleoptera; Chrysomelidae. The record is from RNAcentral.
AUCUAAAUAGUUUAAUUAAAAAUUUUAAUUUGUGGUAUUAAAGAUAUAAAAUUUAUUUUAGAUU